RNAcentral lists this unclassified non-coding RNA (1159 nucleotides) under Octopus sinensis (East Asian common octopus). RNAcentral describes it as "bPTI/Kunitz domain-containing protein 4-like, transcript variant X3". Lineage: Eukaryota; Metazoa; Mollusca; Cephalopoda; Octopoda; Octopodidae. The record is from RNAcentral.
UACAAGGUGAGAGUUACAGGGAAUAGGUUAGAGUGGAAAUGUGUGUUUGGAGUGAGGUAAUAUUGGGGUCUGCAUACAGAAGUGUUCAAAGUAAACAGGCAAAUUUUUUACCUCCCCAAAUGUCAAUGUUGACAAUGUUCCCUAUAUAAGCAGACUGUAUCUUGUUGUUGACUAAUGAGAAUACUUCGUGUCCAACUUGACUGACCACGACACUAGAUCGUUUCUUAAAGCUUGCUGCUUUUCAAUGUAAUAUAAGAAUACACAAUAAGCAGGAAAUUGAUAUAUCAAAAAAAGUUUCCAGUUCCAUUCAACAUGAUCAAUAAAAGCGGUUGUUUAACUAUUUUUAUAGUUUUUUGCUAUUUGGCCAAUGUUGGAGUAUUUUCCUUUCAUUAUCGCAGUGGUAAACCACUGUUCCCCUGGUGUCUUGAUGUAUCAAGGCCUUACUGCGGAAUUCGCUGUCCCCUCAGUGGAUUUGAUACAGAUGGACGAACUGGAUGUCCGACCUGUCGCUGUCGAAAUCGUUGCGAGGAAGUUACGUGUAACCCUGGAUAUACGUGCCAGGUAAAAGUAGGCUCAAAAAAAUGUCCUUCAGGCUUGUGCAAGACGGAGGUGGCGAAAUGUGUUCCUGCCGGAAGUCUCGGUAAGGUGGAGAAUAUUUGUGAAGCCGGUACACCGAAUGGCUAUUGUUUUGGUAAGGUUUCACCCGUCGUCAACUGUAUUGGCAAUUAUAAAUGCGUCAUUCAUCCGAGCAACAACUACGGGCUUUGUUGCCUGAAACCCUCUGCAACCACGUUCAGCAAUGUCCCAUUAUGUGAACAACCCACAAAAGUGGGACUAUGUCGCGCCAGAAUGCUGCGGUAUUUCUUCAACAGCCAAUCAGGCCAUUGUGAAAUAUUUUCAUAUUCUGGUUGUCAAGGAAACGAGAAUAAUUUCGAAACUAAAGAAGAAUGCGAACAAUCUUGCCUAAACUAUCAGAAAAGUAAGAAGAAUCAACGUAACAAAUCUUUUUGAACACCACUCCAAUUAAAGGACAAUACCACAUUCAACUUGUUACACGCGUAUGUGUGCAUAUGUAAUUAUUGUGAAAUGCGGGCGGAGCCUGGUUUCUGUUUGGCUAAAAUUACCAGAUAUUAUUACGACCGAAUUUCUGGAACAUGUC